Molecule: ribosomal RNA, 371 nt
Filed under: uncultured organism
Description: partial 16S ribosomal RNA
Rfam family: Bacterial small subunit ribosomal RNA
Source: RNAcentral
GUAGGUGGCAAGCGUUGUCCGGAAUUAUUGGGCGUAAAGCGCGCGCAGGCGGUUCUUUAAGUCUGAUGUGAAAGCCCACGGCUCAACCGUGGAGGGUCAUUGGAAACUGGAGAACUUGAGUACAGAAGAGGAAAGCGGAAUUCCACGUGUAGCGGUGAAAUGCGUAGAGAUGUGGAGGAACACCAGUGGCGAAGGCGGCUUUCUGGUCUGUAACUGACGCUGAGGCGCGAAAGCGUGGGGAGCAAACAGGAUUAGAUACCCUGGUAGUCCACGCCGUAAACGAUGAGUGCUAAGUGUUAGGGGGGUCUCCGCCCCUUAGUGCUGCAGCUAACGCAUUAAGCACUCCGCCUGGGAGUACGGCCGCAAGGCUG